This 29-nucleotide non-coding RNA is filed under the name Mus musculus (house mouse). The record is from RNAcentral. Lineage: Eukaryota; Metazoa; Chordata; Mammalia; Rodentia; Muridae.
UUGGAAGUGUCAGUACACAAUGAAGGGAG